Molecule: ribosomal RNA, 407 nt
Filed under: uncultured Actinomycetes bacterium
Lineage: Bacteria; Bacillati; Actinomycetota; Actinomycetes
Description: bacterial SSU rRNA
Rfam family: Bacterial small subunit ribosomal RNA
Source: RNAcentral
GAGUUUGAUCAUGGCUCAGGACGAACGCUGGCGGCGUGCUUAACACAUGCAAGUCGAGCGGAAAGGCUCCUUCGGGGGUACUCGAGCGGCGAACGGGUGAGUAACACGUGAGUAAUCUGCCCUUCACUCUGGGAUAACGUUCAGAAAUGGGUGCUAAUACCGGAUGUACACUGUUCCUCGCAUGGGGGGUGGUGGAAAGGUUUUUCUGGUGGGGGAUGUGCUCGCGGCCUAUCAGCUUGUUGGUGGGGUAAUGGCCUACCAAGGCUUUGACGGGUAGCCGGCCUGAGAGGGUGACCGGCCACACUGGGACUGAGACACGGCCCAGACUCCUACGGGAGGCAGCAGUGGGGAAUAUUGGACAAUGGGCGGAAGCCUGAUCCAGCAACGCCGCGUGAGGGAUGACGGCC